This 322-nucleotide ribosomal RNA is filed under the name Dysmicoccus brevipes. Its description in RNAcentral is "partial 28S large subunit ribosomal RNA". The record is from RNAcentral. Lineage: Eukaryota; Metazoa; Arthropoda; Insecta; Hemiptera; Pseudococcidae.
AAACCGUUCGGGGGUAAACGGACAGAGCCCGUGAAUCCGGGCGACGGAAUUCAGAAUCGACGGCGUUCGCAGCGCCGUCGGUUCGAUAUUUCCGUCGCCAGCUCGAUUACACGGACGUCGCGACCCGUUCGGUGUCGGUCCGCAGGAGACGCGCGAAAGUUCGUGUGCGUCCGACGGGGUUUCGGCCUCGUUCGGGCGCGUCGCGAGUGCGCGUUCUUUUCUGGCCGACUCGCCGGACGGUAUGCGUAGCGGUGAUCGCGGCGGCCUCUCGUUAGCGCCGUCGCGUUACCGGUCUGCGACGAAUCUCGGSKCYUCYWKCCNA